UACGUAGGGUGCAAGCGUUGUCCGGAAUUAUUGGGCGUAAAGAGCUCGUAGGCGGUUUGUUGCGUCGGCUGUGAAAUCCCGAGGCUCAACCUCGAGACGUCGGCGGAAACCAUCUGGCUAGAGUCCGGAAGAGGAGAGUGGAAUUCCUGGUGUAGCGGUGAAAUGCGCAGAUAUCAGGAAGAACACCCGUGGCGAAGGCGGCUCUCUGGGACGGUACUGGCGCUGAGACGCGAAAGCGUGGGGAGCGAACAGG
This 253-nucleotide ribosomal RNA is filed under the name uncultured bacterium. RNAcentral's name for it is "partial 16S ribosomal RNA". It matches the Rfam family "Bacterial small subunit ribosomal RNA", at positions 524 to 776 of the family's 1533-position model. The record is from RNAcentral.